Non-coding RNA from Tetranychus urticae (two-spotted spider mite), 1500 nucleotides. Lineage: Eukaryota; Metazoa; Arthropoda; Arachnida; Trombidiformes; Tetranychidae. The record is from RefSeq and is a predicted model, not a curated record.
UUAUUAACAACUCGUUAAUCAUCAUUGUCUUGUUAAUUAUUUUAUCUAAUUGUUUUUACCAAAUUUUAAAUUGUGAAUUAUCUAUUGGUUCAUGUCAAUUUGAAUUCAAUUUUCAAAUCUCUCAGUUUACUCUUAAAUAUUUCAAGUGUUGUGUACAAGCAAUCAGAGUUUAUAUGAUAUAAGAUAGGAUGCAUUGCAAUUCAAUUUACUGCUCAAUUGGGGAAGGUGGUUAAGAAGUUCAUUCUUCCUCAACAUCUACUCGAUUUGAAACUUCACUGUGCUGGUUAUUCUGAAAAGCCCGAGACAAUAUUACAACUGCCUUAUUCUCAUACACUGAUUGAUAACUAUGUACAAUACCAUAGAAAUUGAAGCUUCAAUUGUCAAACUGGUUUCUCUUGCUGAUUGUUAACCUGAUUCAAUUCAUGAAGGAUAAGGAAGAAAGGAGGAAAAGAAAAAGGUAAAGCACUGGAAAAGGAGUAAAGAGAAAUAGUAUUCAUUGGUAAUAGUUUCAAAGGUGGAAAACGAAAUAGAAACGAGAUAUUGGUUACAUUGAAAUUGAAACUUUAUGUGUAUUGCUGAUAGGAACAAGGAAAAGUCUGCUCUUCAAAUCAGUUGAACGAAAAAAAAGAAAGAAAUAGGAACCUUCAAUCUUCAAGCAUCAUAGUUAUAUUCAUUCAUUCAUCUAUCUUCAUGAUUAUUUGAAUGGAUAAAUGAGCUACAAAAGGAAAUACAUUAUAUUUACAAGGAGAAAUUGGUUUCCUAUCAAAAGAAGAGGACAAAAAAGAUUCAACUUUUUUUCUCAUUUUGACUGGUUUCACGUUUUUUCACCAUCAUAGUCAGGAGUAUUAUCAUUGCAGCCUUUUCCACCAAUUUAUUCAUCCUAAAUUUCAAGCCAUCUUUGAAAAUAACUAUACCAAUAGGACCUCCAUACUAACUUUCAUAAUUGAUCAGAGGCUCACUUGAGCAAACGAAAUCAACAUCACAAUAAUCGAUUAUUGAUUACGCUUUACAUAUAUGUGUAUUCGAGUUGGUGAAAAAAAGACAGUUCUGACAAGUAAAAGAUCUCAAGACAAAGAAGAAAAGAAAAAAUUGUCCAAAAGAAUUGGGAAGAUUGAUCAUUGAUUCUGGUGUUGAUACUGGAUUUUUUAUACACGUUAACCAACUCUCCAUAAAAUAGAUCACAUUGGUUAUCAGGUUAUCCAAAUAAUCUCACAGUUUUUUAUCAUUUAACUUCUCGCACUUUUCCUUUCGCCUUUCAACAGUUUCCUCCUCAGGUUAACAUUACUUUUUGUUUUUCUCUUUAGUUACAGGUCAUUAAUUGGUCACUUUGGUCGUUUUUGGUGAUUUAUUACCCAAAACAAACAAAGGAAAUACUCAAAAUGCAAGAGCAAUCUUAAUGAUCCUUGUGAAGAGAAAGAUGUAAAUCAACAUUGUUCACCUAAUUUACAUCUUUCCAGAGCUCAUAUACGCAAGCUAUUAAUAAAACAAAAGGAAUUUCAA